RNAcentral lists this ribosomal RNA (593 nucleotides) under Bacillus subtilis. Its description in RNAcentral is "bacterial SSU rRNA". It matches the Rfam family "Bacterial small subunit ribosomal RNA", at positions 103 to 681 of the family's 1533-position model. Lineage: Bacteria; Bacillati; Bacillota; Bacilli; Caryophanales; Bacillaceae. The record is from RNAcentral.
CGGGUGAGUAACACGUGGGUAACCUGCCUGUAAGACUGGGAUAACUCCGGGAAACCGGGGCUAAUACCGGAUGGUUGUUUGAACCGCAUGGUUCAAACAUAAAAGGUGGCUUCGGCUACCACUUACAGAUGGACCCGCGGCGCAUUAGCUAGUUGGUGAGGUAACGGCUCACCAAGGCAACGAUGCGUAGCCGACCUGAGAGGGUGAUCGGCCACACUGGGACUGAGACACGGCCCAGACUCCUACGGGAGGCAGCAGUAGGGAAUCUUCCGCAAUGGACGAAAGUCUGACGGAGCAACGCCGCGUGAGUGAUGAAGGUUUUCGGAUCGUAAAGCUCUGUUGUUAGGGAAGAACAAGUACCGUUCGAAUAGGGCGGUACCUUGACGGUACCUAACCAGAAAGCCACGGCUAACUACGUGCCAGCAGCCGCGGUAAUACGUAGGUGGCAAGCGUUGUCCGGAAUUAUUGGGCGUAAAGGGCUCGCAGGCGGUUUCUUAAGUCUGAUGUGAAAGCCCCCGGCUCAACCGGGGAGGGUCAUUGGAGACUGGGGAACUUGAGUGCAGAAGAGGAGAGUGGAAUUCCACGUGUAGCGG